This 465-nucleotide ribosomal RNA is filed under the name Vreelandella stevensii. Its description in RNAcentral is "partial 16S ribosomal RNA". It matches the Rfam family "Bacterial small subunit ribosomal RNA", at positions 338 to 795 of the family's 1533-position model. The record is from RNAcentral. Lineage: Bacteria; Pseudomonadati; Pseudomonadota; Gammaproteobacteria; Oceanospirillales; Halomonadaceae.
CCUACGGGUGGCAGCAGUGGGGAAUAUUGGACAAUGGGCGAAAGCCUGAUCCAGCCAUGCCGCGUGUGUGAAGUAGGCCUUCGGGUUGUAAAGCACUUUCAGUGGGGAAGAAAGCCUUGGGGCUAAUACCCUCGAGGAAGGACAUCACCCACAGAAGAAGCACCGGCUAACUCCGUGCCAGCAGCCGCGGUAAUACGGAGGGUGCGAGCGUUAAUCGGAAUUACUGGGCGUAAAGCGCGCGUAGGCGGUCUGAUAAGCCGGUUGUGAAAGCCCCGGGCUCAACCUGGGAACGGCAUCCGGAACUGUCAGGCUAGAGUGCAGGAGAGGAAGGUAGAAUUCCCGGUGUAGCGGUGAAAUGCGUAGAGAUCGGGAGGAAUACCAGUGGCGAAGGCGGCCUUCUGGACUGACACUGACGCUGAGGUGCGAAAGCGUGGGUAGCAAACAGGAUUAGAUACCCCUGUAGUC